RNAcentral lists this ribosomal RNA (482 nucleotides) under uncultured bacterium. RNAcentral describes it as "bacterial SSU rRNA". It matches the Rfam family "Bacterial small subunit ribosomal RNA", at positions 8 to 526 of the family's 1533-position model. The record is from RNAcentral.
AGAGUUUGAUCAUGGCUCAGGACGAACGCUGGCGGCGUGCCUAAUGCAUGCAAGUCGCACGGGCCGUCUUCGGACGGUCAGUGGCGCACGGCUGAGGAACACGUGGGGAUCGACCCGGGCGUGGGGGACAACGCGGGGAAACCCGCGCUAAUCCCGCAUACGCUUCCACAAGGAAAGCGGCUUCGGCCGCGCGCCCGGACGACCCUGCGGCCCAUCAGGUUGUUGGCGGGGUAACGGCCCACCAAGCCCGUGACGGGUCGCUGGUCUGGGAGGAUGACCAGCCAGACUGGGACUGAGACACGGCCCAGACUCCUACGGGAGGCAGCAGCAAGGAAUUUUCGGCAAUGGGCGCAAGCCUGACCGAGCAACGCCGCGUGGGGGAUGACGGCCUUCGGGUUGUAAACCCCUUCUCGGGGGGAUGAUUAUGACCGUACCCCCGGAAUCAGCCCCGGCUAACUCUGUGCCAGCCGCCGCGGUAAUAC